RNAcentral lists this transfer RNA (74 nucleotides) under Coxiella sp. (in: g-proteobacteria). RNAcentral describes it as "Coxiella sp. (in: Bacteria) tRNA-Gly". It matches the Rfam family "tRNA". Rfam says of the family: Transfer RNA (tRNA) molecules are approximately 80 nucleotides in length. Their secondary structure includes four short double-helical elements and three loops (D, anti-codon, and T loops). Further hydrogen bonds mediate the characteristic L-shaped molecular structure. tRNAs have two regions of fundamental functional importance: the anti-codon, which is responsible for specific mRNA codon recognition, and the 3' end, to which the tRNAs corresponding amino acid is attached (by aminoacyl-tRNA synthetases). tRNAs cope with the degeneracy of the genetic code in two manners: having more than one tRNA (with a specific anti-codon) for a particular amino acid; and 'wobble' base-pairing, i.e. permitting non-standard base-pairing at the 3rd anti-codon position. Lineage: Bacteria; Pseudomonadati; Pseudomonadota; Gammaproteobacteria; Legionellales; Coxiellaceae. The record is from RNAcentral.
GCGGGUGUAGUUCAAUGGUAGAACUCCAGCCUUCCAAGCUGAUAGUGUGGGUUCGAUUCCCAUCACCCGCUCCA